GGGGCUGAUUCUGGAUUCGACGGGAUUCGCGAAACCCAAGGUGCAUGCCGAGGUGCGGAGGCCUCGUAAAAAACCGCAAAAAAAUAGUCGCAAACGACGAAAACUACGCACUAGCAGCUUAAUACCCUGCUUAGAGCCCUCUCUCCCUAGCCUCCGCUCUUAGGACGGGGAUCAAGAGAGGUCAAACCUAAAAGAGCUCGUGUGGAAACCUUGCCUGGGGUGGAAGCAUUAAAACUAAUCAGGAUAGUUUGUCAGUGGCGUGUCCAUCCGCAGCUGGCCGGCGAAUGUAAUGAUUGGACUAAGCAUGUAGUGCCGACGGUGUAGUAAUUUCGGACGGGGGUUCAAAUCCCCCCAGCUCCACCA
This 363-nucleotide transfer-messenger RNA is filed under the name Yersinia canariae. Its description in RNAcentral is "Standard tmRNA". It matches the Rfam family "transfer-messenger RNA". Rfam says of the family: Bacterial tmRNA, also known as 10Sa RNA or SsrA, is named for its dual tRNA and mRNA-like properties. Its role is to liberate the mRNA from a stalled ribosome. The record is from RNAcentral. Lineage: Bacteria; Pseudomonadati; Pseudomonadota; Gammaproteobacteria; Enterobacterales; Yersiniaceae.